UACGUAGGGGCCGAGCGUUGUCCGGAAUCAUUGGGCGUAAAGAGCGUGUAGGCGGCUACUUAAGUCCUGCGUGAAAUCUCGGGGCUCAACCCCGAGCGGUCGUGGGAAACUGGGUAGCUAGAGUGCGGGAGAGGAGAGUGGAAUUCCUGGUGUAGCGGUGGAAUGCGCAGAUAUCAGGAAGAACACCCGUGGCGAAGGCGGCUCUCUGGAACGCAACUGACGCUGAGACGCGAAAGCGUGGGGAGCAAACAGG
RNAcentral lists this ribosomal RNA (253 nucleotides) under uncultured bacterium. Its description in RNAcentral is "partial 16S ribosomal RNA". It matches the Rfam family "Bacterial small subunit ribosomal RNA", at positions 524 to 776 of the family's 1533-position model. The record is from RNAcentral.